CUCCGCAGAGGAAUGAAGUAGGACACUUGGUUUUCGCUGAAGGUCAUAAUGGCUAGCUCAUUGGGAAAGAAACAUGCCAUCGAAAGACACCACUGAAAACAAAAGAGCUCACAGUCGAAUCCAAGAUAGCACAAUCUUACCACAAAUUGCAUGCUCUACAUACACUUCCCUUUCAGCAGUUUCACAUACUGUUUAACUCUCUUCUCAAAGUCCUUUUCACAUUUCCCUCAUGGUACUUCUCUGCUAUCGGUUCCAGACCUUUAUGUAGUCGUAGAUGAGAUUUACCACCUAUCCAGCACUCCAAUCCCAAAGAGUGUGACUCCAGGAAGAGGUACCGUUCGUACAAAACAGGCAGCGAUGUGCAGGCCUCUCACCUUCACUGG
RNAcentral lists this ribosomal RNA (383 nucleotides) under Ctenophora environmental sample. RNAcentral describes it as "partial Eukaryotic large subunit ribosomal RNA". Lineage: Eukaryota; Metazoa; Ctenophora. The record is from RNAcentral.